CUAAGGAGCAUUCUCCGGUCGGGGUUCCGAACAGUCGGGGCCGCCGUCGGCAGAGCCACUACGAGCCCGAAUGUGGUUCGGUGGAAGCUCAUGGGUGGAACGCUGGCAUGUGCCUCACGUUUCGGUUGCUCUCGAUGGGGUGGCCGGUGGGGAUGUAGUCGACACACUGUUGGGUCCUGAAAGAACAGACGUUCUUUCCAGGCAAGAAAUACGACAGGACUGAUUCUCAGUCAUACCGCGGGAGCUUUGGUUUCCGGUCUGGUGCUGGUCAAGGGUUGGUCUUGUGUGUUGUUUGAGAACUGCACAGUGGACGCGAGCAUCUUUGUUUGUAAGUGUGUAAGAGCGUUC
This 348-nucleotide unclassified non-coding RNA is filed under the name Nocardia paucivorans. RNAcentral's name for it is "16S-23S ribosomal RNA intergenic spacer". Lineage: Bacteria; Bacillati; Actinomycetota; Actinomycetes; Mycobacteriales; Nocardiaceae. The record is from RNAcentral.